CAGCAGCCACGGUAAUACGAAGGUCCCGAGCGUUGUUCGGAAUCACUGGGCGUAAAGGGAGCGUAGGCGGCGUGGUAAGUCAGAUGUGAAAUCCCGGGGCUCAACCCCGGAACCGCAUCCGAUACUGCCAUGCUAGAGGAUUGGAGAGGUAGCUGGAAUUCUUGGUGUAGCAGUGAAAUGCGUGGAGAUCAAGAGGAACACUCGUGGCGAAAGCGAGCUACUGGACAAUAACUGACGCUGAGGCUCGAAGGCCAGGGUAGCGAAAGGGAUUAGAUACCCGCGUAGUCCCUGUCUCUUUAUU
RNAcentral lists this ribosomal RNA (301 nucleotides) under uncultured bacterium. Its description in RNAcentral is "partial 16S ribosomal RNA". It matches the Rfam family "Bacterial small subunit ribosomal RNA", at positions 509 to 808 of the family's 1533-position model. The record is from RNAcentral.